This 229-nucleotide ribosomal RNA is filed under the name uncultured bacterium. Its description in RNAcentral is "partial 16S ribosomal RNA". It matches the Rfam family "Bacterial small subunit ribosomal RNA", at positions 568 to 796 of the family's 1533-position model. The record is from RNAcentral.
UGCGUAGGCGGUUUGAUAAGUCAGGAGUGAAAGUUAUCUGCUUAACGGGGAAAUUGCUUUUGAUACUGUCAAGCUUGAAUCGGGUUGAGGUUAGCGGAAUGUGACAUGUAGCGGUGAAAUGCAUAGAUAUGUCAUAGAACACCAAUUGCGAAGGCAGCUAGCUAGGCCUAGAUUGACGCUGAGGCACGAAAGCGUGGGGAGCGAACAGGAUUAGAUACCCUGGUAGUCC